Molecule: long non-coding RNA, 333 nt
Filed under: Hordeum vulgare
Lineage: Eukaryota; Viridiplantae; Streptophyta; Magnoliopsida; Poales; Poaceae
Description: long non-coding RNA (HVUL_LNC010090)
Source: RNAcentral
GAAAGGGCCGGUAGCACAACAAGAAGCGCAAUGGCAAAGCAGUUAUGGAUGUCGAAGGAGCCAACAACUCCACUGCCGGCAAGAAGGCCAAGUCUGAGGGAUCCGACAAGGAUGUUCCCGCCUGCUCCGAAGAUGAUGAGGCUGCUACAGGGGAGAAGACCGACAUGCCAUACUGCAAGAUUCACCUGACCAAAGGCCACGACAUCACUGAGUGCUUCCAAGUAGAGCAACUUGCCGAGAAGCAGAAGCAAGAGUACGGAAGGUGCGACAAGGAGAAGGGCUAGGACAUUGUGGGUGGAUCUUGAAAGAAGAACCGUGGCAACCUCCACGGCA